This 710-nucleotide ribosomal RNA is filed under the name uncultured Vagococcus sp. RNAcentral's name for it is "bacterial SSU rRNA". It matches the Rfam family "Bacterial small subunit ribosomal RNA", at positions 801 to 1515 of the family's 1533-position model. Lineage: Bacteria; Bacillati; Bacillota; Bacilli; Lactobacillales; Enterococcaceae. The record is from RNAcentral.
CGUAAACGAUGAGUGCUAGCGUUAGGGGGUUCCCCCCUUUAGUGCUGCAGCUAACGCAUUAAGCACUCCGCUGGGGAGUACGACCGCAAGGUUGAAACUCAAAGGAAUUGACGGGGGCCCGCACAGCGGUGGAGCAUGUGGUUUAAUUCGAAGCAACGCGAAGAACCUUACCAGGUCUUGACAUCCUUUGACCACUCUAGAGAUAGAGCUUUCCCUUCGGGGACAAAGUGACAGGUGGUGCAUGGUUGUCGUCAGCUCGUGUCGUGAGAUGUUGGGUUAAGUCCCGCAACGAGCGCAACCCUUAUUGUUAGUUGCCAUCAUUAAGUUGGGCACUCUAGCGAGACUGCCGGUGACAAACCGGAGGAAGGUGGGGAUGACGUCAAAUCAUCAUGCCCCUUAUGACCUGGGCUACACACGUGCUACAAUGGACAGUACAAUGAGCAGCGACACGGCGACGUGAAGCGAAUCUCAUAAAGCUGUUCUCAGUUCGGAUUGUAGGCUGCAACUCGCCUACAUGAAGCCGGAAUCGCUAGUAAUCGCGGAUCAGCACGCCGCGGUGAAUACGUUCCCGGGCCUUGUACACACCGCCCGUCACACCACGAAAGUUUGUAACACCCGAAGUCGGUGAGGUAACCGCAAGGAGCCAACCGCCUAAGGUGGGAUAGAUGAUUGGGGUGAAGUCGUAACAAGGUAACCAAGGGCGAAUUCUG